Molecule: non-coding RNA, 30 nt
Filed under: Mus musculus (house mouse)
Lineage: Eukaryota; Metazoa; Chordata; Mammalia; Rodentia; Muridae
Source: RNAcentral
UCCCCCUAGCACUGGGAUAAGCCAUCCAGG